AGAGUUUGAUCCUGGCUCAGAUUGAACGCUGGCGGUAUGCUUAACACAUGCAAGUCGAACGGAAACGGAACUAGCUUGCUAGUAGACGUCGAGUGGCGGACGGGUGAGUAACGCGUAGGAAUCUGCCUGAUAGUGGGGGAUAGCCCGAAGAAAUUCGGAUUAAUACCGCAUAAUCUAUUCGUAGUAAAGUGAGGGACUUUCGAGCCUCACGCUAUCAGAUGAGCCUGCGUAAGAUUAGCUUGUUGGUAGGGUAAAAGCCUACCAAGGCAACGAUCUUUAGCUGGUCUGAGAGGAUGAUCAGCCACAUCGGGACUGAGACACGGCCCGAACUCCUACGGGAGGCAGCAGUGGGGAAUAUUGGACAAUGGGGGCAACCCUGAUCCAGCAAUACCGCGUGUGUGAAGAAGGCCUGAGGGUUGUAAAGCACUUUCAAUUGUGAAGAAAAGUUAACGGUUAAUAACCGUUGACCUUGACGUUAACUUUAGAAGAAGCACCGGCUAACUCCGUGCCAGCAGCCGCGGUAAUACGGAGGGUGCAAGCGUUAAUCGGAAUUACUGGGCGUAAAGCGUGCGUAGGCGGUUUAUUAAGUCAGAUGUGAAAGCCCCGGGCUUAACCUGGGAACUGCAUUUGAAACUGGUCAACUAGAGUAUGGUAGAGGAAGUGGAAUUUCUGGUGUAGCGGUGAAAUGCGUAGAUAUCAGAAGGAACAUCAAUGGCGAAGGCAGCUUUCUGGACCAAUACUGACGCUGAGGUACGAAAGCGUGGGUAGCAAACAGGAUUAGAUACCCUGGUAGUCCACGCCGUAAACGAUGAUAACUAGCCGUUGGGGGGAUUUACCCCUUAGUGGCGAAGCUAACGCGUUAAGUUAUCCGCCUGGGGAGUACGGCCGCAAGGCUAAAACUCAAAGGAAUUGACGGGGACCCGCACAAGCGGUGGAGCAUGUGGUUUAAUUCGAUGCAACGCGAAGAACCUUACCUGGUCUUGACAUCCUGCGAACUUUCUAGAAAUAGAUUGGUGCCUUCGGGAACGCAGUGACAGGUGCUGCAUGGCUGUCGUCAGCUCGUGUCGUGAGAUGUUGGGUUAAGUCCCGUAACGAGCGCAACCCCUAUCACUAGUUGCCAGCACAUUAUGGUGGGGACUUUAGUGAGACUGCCGGUGACAAACCGGAGGAAGGUGGGGACGACGUCAAGUCAUCAUGGCCCUUAUGGGCAGGGCUACACACGUGCUACAAUGGCUAAUACAAAGGGACGCCAACCCGCGAGGGGGAGCCAAUCCAAUAAAAUUAGUCUCAGUCCGGAUCGAAGUCUGCAACUCGACUUCGUGAAGUUGGAAUCGCUAGUAAUCGCGUAUCAGCAAUGGCGCGGUGAAUACGUUCCCGGGUCUUGUACACACCGCCCGUCACACCAUGGAAGUUGGUUGCACCAGAAGUGAAUAGUCUAACCUUUGGGAGGGCGUUCACCACGGUGUGGUCAAUGACUAGGGUGAAGUCGUAACAAGGUAACC
Molecule: ribosomal RNA, 1502 nt
Filed under: uncultured bacterium
Lineage: Bacteria
Description: 16S ribosomal RNA
Rfam family: Bacterial small subunit ribosomal RNA
Source: RNAcentral